AUGCUUGCUGCUUGGAAUGAGCUUUUUAAUGUAGUUAAGGAUCUGGUUUUGAAUGAUAGUGAUGACACUAUUAUUUGGGACUUGGAGCUCAAGGGGGUUUACACAGCUAAAUCCUUUUAUAAUUUUGUGAAUUUUAGAGUGAUUCCAGAUAAUAUUAUGAUGAUUUGGAAAGCUAAUGUCCCUCAAAGAAUUCAGAUUUUCCUUUGGUUGCUAGUUAAGAACAAGCUACUAACCAGGGACAAUCUUCUGAAAAGACAAUAUGUAGCAGAUGCUACCUGUCUUUAUUGUAAUGAACUAGAAUAUCUUAAUCAUCUAUUUUUCGAUUGUGUGGUUUCGAGAGAACUUUGGAGAGAGUUUUUUUGGCUCCCUAGGGGACGACAUUGA
This 384-nucleotide ribosomal RNA is filed under the name Triticum aestivum (bread wheat). RNAcentral's name for it is "partial small subunit ribosomal RNA". The record is from RNAcentral. Lineage: Eukaryota; Viridiplantae; Streptophyta; Magnoliopsida; Poales; Poaceae.